UGGAUCCAGACUUUGAUUAUGGCUCAGGAUGAACGCUAGCUACAGGCUUAACACAUGCAAGUCGAGGGGAAACGAUAUUGGAAGCUUGCUUCCUAUAGGCGUCGACCGGCGCACGGGUGAGUAACGCGUAUCCAACCUGCCCACCACUUGGGGAUAACCUUGCGAAAGUAAGACUAAUACCCAAUGAUAUCUCUAGAAGACAUCUGAAUGAGAUUAAAGAUUUAUCGGUGAUGGAUGGGGAUGCGUCUGAUUAGCUUGUUGGCGGGGUAACGGCCCACCAAGGCGACGAUCAGUAGGGGUUCUGAGAGGAAGGUCCCCCACAUUGGAACUGAGACACGGUCCAAACUCCUACGGGAGGCUGCAGUGAGGAAUAUUGGUCAAUGGGCGAGAGCCUGAACCAGCCAAGUAGCGUGCAGGAUGACGGCCCUAUGGGUUGUAAACUGCUUUUAUAAGGGAAUAAAGUGAGUCUCGUGAGGCUUUUUGCAUGUACCUUAUGAAUAAGGACCGGCUAAUUCCGUGCCAGCAGCCGCGGUAAUACGGAAGGUCCGGGCGUUAUCCGGAUUUAUUGGGUUUAAAGGGAGCGUAGGCUGGAGAUUAAGCGUGUUGUGAAAUGUAGAUGCUCAACAUCUGCACUGCAGCGCGAACUGGUUUCCUUGAGUACGCACAAAGUGGGCGGAAUUCGUGGUGUAGCGGUGAAAUGCUUAGAUAUCACGAAGAACUCCGAUUGCGAAGGCAGCUCACUGGAGCGCAACUGACGCUGAAGCUCGAAAGUGCGGGUAUCGAACAGGAUUAGAUACCCUGGUAGUCCGCACGGUAAACGAUGGAUGCCCGCUGUUGGUCUGAAUAGGUCAGCGGCCAAGCGAAAGCAUUAAGCAUCCCACCUGGGGAGUACGCCGGCAACGGUGCAACUCAAAUGAAUUGACGGA
Molecule: ribosomal RNA, 926 nt
Filed under: uncultured Bacteroidota bacterium
Lineage: Bacteria; Pseudomonadati; Bacteroidota
Description: bacterial SSU rRNA
Rfam family: Bacterial small subunit ribosomal RNA
Source: RNAcentral